Homo sapiens (human) is the source of this 1291-nucleotide long non-coding RNA. NCBI's taxonomy places the organism in Eukaryota, Metazoa, Chordata, Mammalia, Primates, Hominidae. The record is from Ensembl.
GUGGUUGUAAAAUAUGCAGAUAACAACCACGCCUUUAUUUCAUCAUAAUGGUUAGGAGCACACGCUCCAGGUAAAUCCUGGUCCUUCUUGGUGGCUGUAUGAUCUUAACAACAAAACCAAGCCUUUGUGCACAUCUGUGGUUGUGACCAGUUGGAGAGACAUUAGGAGAUGAGAUACUAUGUUCACUCCUCACAGCUGUACCAGGGACCUGAGAUAUUCCGUCACUAUUCUAUGAGAUUUUGGAGAUCCCACCAGUGGUUUUCCGGUGCCAGGGUAUGAGAAGAUAGUCUCCAUGUCCAAACUCACAAUUUCAGAACAAAUUUCAUCAAGAUAAAGGCCUGGGCUGGUGAAUGGUUCCUGCUUUCACUAUUCCAGAUGUCCAGCUCUGUACCUUGCUGCUCUCCUUAAAGCCUGCCUCCCUCUAGAUGGUCUGGCUUGAUGAUAUCCAACCUGACGUGGCCUGAAGAGACAGACAGUGGCUCUUGCUAGCUAAUUAUUGUCAGAUGGAUCGGCAGCCGACCAACGCUUCUGAAACUAUUGUUUUUGGCAAAUGUUCCUCAACAUUUUCCUGGGAGCUAUGGUGCAUUACUCACGAGUGACAGAACCAACGAGCUUCAUCUCCCAAGAGGCUGGUGCAUCUGUUUAAAGGAGCAGGCACUAGGCAGAGCAGCCCCCACCCCACCCUCCAUGGCAGAGUGCAGUGGGGGAAGGGAUGGGAUUUCACCAUGUUGUCCAAGCUGGUUUUGAACUCCUGGGGUCAAGAAAUCCACCUGCUUCGGCCUCCCACAGUGCUGGGAUUACAGAUGGGGAAACUGAGGCACAGAGAGGUUAGAGAUAUGCCUGAAGCCACACAGCUUGCAAGUGGUGGAUCUGGGAUUUGAACUUGUCGAUCUGGCUGCAGAGCUGAGCUCUUGGAGACUAGGUUUUACUGCCUAGUAGCAUGUAAGCCUGGAACUGCCGGCAGUCAUUUUGUAAGUUUGCCGAGUGAACCUCAAUGAGCAUGAAGCAGAGAGGAAAGCAGUACUAAGAGAUGCAAAAGAGUCUGUGUUCCAGCAAUGGGAUCUGAAGUCCUGGAUCAAACCUUACCUGGAGACAAGAUUUACCCAUCAGACAUGCCAGUUAUAAGACCCAAAUUUACCCUUUUUGGGGGAUUGAGUUUGAAUGAGUAUUUUUGUUUGUUUGUUUUGGCAUCAGAAAGACUCCUGAUUAAUACACAGUGUGACGCUGACCAAGAUGCUUCCUUUCUCUAGGACUCAAUUUUCUUAUCUGUAAAGUAAAGGGUUCAUCAACA